AUUGAACGCUGGCGGCAUGCUUUACACAUGCAAGUCGAACGGUAACAGGGUGCUUGCGCCGCUGACGAGUGGCGAACGGGUGAGUAAUGCGUCGGAACGUGCCGAGUAGUGGGGGAUAACGCAGCGAAAGUUGUGCUAAUACCGCAUACGUACUGAGGUAGAAAGUGGGGGACCUUCGGGCCUCACGCUAUUCGAGCGGCCGACGUCCGAUUAGCUAGUAGGUGAGGUAAAGGCUCACCUAGGCGACGAUCAGUAGCGGGUCUGAGAGGAUGGUCCGCCACACUGGGACUGAGACACGGCCCAGACUCCUACGGGAGGCAGCAGUGGGGAAUUUUGGACAAUGGGCGAAAGCCUGAUCCAGCCAUGCCGCGUGUCUGAAGAAGGCCUUCGGGUUGUAAAGGACUUUAAGUUGGGAGGAAGGGUUGUAAGCUAAUAUCUUGCAGCUUUGACGUUACCAACAGAAUAAGCACCGGCUAACUCUGUGCCAGCAGCCGCUGUAA
This 500-nucleotide ribosomal RNA is filed under the name uncultured bacterium. RNAcentral describes it as "partial 16S ribosomal RNA". It matches the Rfam family "Bacterial small subunit ribosomal RNA", at positions 30 to 523 of the family's 1533-position model. The record is from RNAcentral.